UACGUAGGGGGCAAGCGUUGUCCGGAUUUAUUGGGCGUAAAGAGCGUGUAGGCGGCUUGGUAGGUCAGCUGUGAAAACUCGAGGCUCAACCUCGAGAUGUCGGUUGAAACCACCUGGCUAGAGUCCGGAAGAGGAGAAUGGAAUUCCCGGUGUAGCGGUGAAAUGCGCAGAUAUCGGGAAGAACACCCGUGGCGAAGGCGGUUCUCUGGGACGGUACUGACGCUGAGACGCGAAAGCGUGGGGAGCGAACAGG
RNAcentral lists this ribosomal RNA (253 nucleotides) under uncultured bacterium. RNAcentral's name for it is "partial 16S ribosomal RNA". It matches the Rfam family "Bacterial small subunit ribosomal RNA", at positions 524 to 776 of the family's 1533-position model. RNAcentral also lists the same sequence under 1 other name. The record is from RNAcentral.